GGGCACUAGCUGAGGAAGGGGCCCACAGCUGGGCACAGACUGACCGUAUCUCCCCCCCUCCCCCCAGGUGGACACCCUGCUCGUGCUAAGCCCCAGCUCAGAGGCCCUCCUGGCCGGCCCUGCCCUGCGGCUGGUGCGGGAUCGUGUUGCCCCCCACUGCCUCUUCGUGAACCUCUGCCUGGAGUCCUGGGGGUGCCAGAGGAGCCCCGCAGACGAGGUGGAGCUGGCUGGGUUCAGUGAGCAGGUGCUCAGGUUCCUGGCCGUGCGCGGCACCUCCCGCCUGCUGGAGCACGUGGGCAGGAUGGACGAGAUCCACGGACUGCCCCCCCCGCUGGGGGCGCCCCGCAGGCACCCAGAGCUUUCCUGCGCCCCUCCUGCCCU
Molecule: long non-coding RNA, 381 nt
Filed under: Chrysemys picta bellii (western painted turtle)
Lineage: Eukaryota; Metazoa; Chordata; Testudines; Emydidae
Description: lncRNA (ENSCPBG00000009623.1)
Source: RNAcentral